GGACCUACGGGAGGCAGCAGUGAGGAAUAUUGGUCAAUGGCCGAGAGGCUGAACCAGCCAAGUCGCGUGAGGGAAGAAUGUCCUAAGGAUUGUAAACCUCUUUUGUCGGGGGGCAAAAAGGCUCUGCGGAGUCGUAUUGAGAGUACCCGAAGAAAAAGCAUCGGCUAACUCCGUGCCAGCAGCCGCGGUAAUACGGAGGAUGCGAGCGUUAUCCGGAUUUAUUGGGUUUAAAGGGUGCGUAGGCGGGAUGCCAAGUCAGCGGUAAAAAUGCGGUGCUCAACGCCGUCGAGCCGUUGAAACUGGCG
RNAcentral lists this ribosomal RNA (305 nucleotides) under uncultured bacterium. RNAcentral describes it as "bacterial SSU rRNA". It matches the Rfam family "Bacterial small subunit ribosomal RNA", at positions 333 to 638 of the family's 1533-position model. The record is from RNAcentral.